UACGAACUGUGCAAACGUUAUUCGGAAUCACUGGGCUUACAGGGUGCGUAGGCGGCCUGACAAGUAGGGUGUGAAAGCCCCCGGCUCAACCGGGGAAUGGCGCCCUAAACUGUCGGGCUGGGGUGAGAUAGGGGUGUGCGGAACUUCCGGUGGAGCGGUGAAAUGUGUUGAUAUCGGAAGGAACGCCGGUGGCGAAAGCGGCACACUGGAUCUCAACUGACGCUGAGGCACGAAAGCCAGGGGAGCGAACGGG
Molecule: ribosomal RNA, 253 nt
Filed under: uncultured bacterium
Lineage: Bacteria
Description: partial 16S ribosomal RNA
Rfam family: Bacterial small subunit ribosomal RNA
Source: RNAcentral